RNAcentral lists this ribosomal RNA (446 nucleotides) under uncultured bacterium. RNAcentral describes it as "partial 16S ribosomal RNA". It matches the Rfam family "Bacterial small subunit ribosomal RNA", at positions 338 to 795 of the family's 1533-position model. The record is from RNAcentral.
CCUACGGGUGGCAGCAGUAGGGAAUUUUCGGCAAUGGGGGGAACCCUGACCGUGCAACGCCGCGUGAACGAAGAAGGUAUUCGUAAUGUAAAGUUCUUGUAACAGGGAAGAAAGAGAAAUUUGACGGUACCUGAAGAAUAAGCUCCGGCAAACUACGUGCCAGCAGCCGCGGUAAUAAGUAGGGAGCGAGUGUUAUCCGGAAUUAUUGGAGGUAAAGGGUGGGUAGAUGGCAUAGUAAGUCUUUUGUAAAAAUGCUGGGCCAGACCCCGGAGGGCAAAAGAUACUGCAAAACUAGAGUAUGACAGAGGGAAGUGGAACUACAUGUGUAGCAGUAAAAUGCGUAAAUAUAUGUAAGAACACUAGUGGCGAAGGCGGGUUGCUGGGUAGAUACUGACAUUGAGGCACGAAGGCGUGGGGAGCGAACAGGAUUAGAUACCCCUGUAGUC